This 372-nucleotide ribosomal RNA is filed under the name uncultured bacterium. Its description in RNAcentral is "bacterial SSU rRNA". It matches the Rfam family "Bacterial small subunit ribosomal RNA", at positions 527 to 898 of the family's 1533-position model. The record is from RNAcentral.
GAACCGUCCUAACGUUGUUCGGAUUCACUGGGCUUAAAGGGCGCGUAGGCGGGAGACCAAGUCCGGGGUGAAAUCUUUCGGCUCAACCGGAAAACUGCCUUGGAUACUGGUCUUCUAGAGGGAGGUAGGGGUCUGCGGAACUUCCGGUGGAGCGGUGAAAUGCGUUGAUAUCGGAAGGAACGCCGGUGGCGAAAGCGGCGGACUGGACCUCUUCUGACGCUGAGGCGCGAAAGCCAGGGGAGCAAACGGGAUUAGAUACCCCGGUAGUCCUGGCCCUAAACGAUGGGUACUAGGUAGUGGACUUAACAUGGGUUCACUGCCGAAGCAAAAGUGAUAAGUACCCCGCCUGGGGAGUAUGGUCGCAAGGCUGAA